This 329-nucleotide long non-coding RNA is filed under the name Pan troglodytes (chimpanzee). RNAcentral describes it as "long non-coding RNA NONPTRT014813". The record is from RNAcentral. Lineage: Eukaryota; Metazoa; Chordata; Mammalia; Primates; Hominidae.
UGGGUGAAUUUUAUUUACUUUUCCAUCUCUAUGACAUAUUCUAAGUUUCUUUCUAUGGGAAUGUUUCACUUUCAUAACUAGAAAUUUUUAAAAUAAAAGUAAAUGUAUUGUUUAUAAAUUGAGUUUCAUUUUAAAAAACUAUUGGUGAAUAAUUAUCAAUAAAUUUGUAUAUUGGAGGAAAAAAAUCUUUGUAAAUCAAUCUUAACUUGACUCCAUCUCAAAAAAAAUUUUUUUUGAAUGAGUUAACAAAAAUUUAGAGGUAGAGGGAUGCUGGGAAGAUAGCAGAGCAGGGAAUUUUUCUCCCCACCUAGAUAACAAUUGCACUGUUG